GUGUUUGCUUCGGCAGCACAUAUAUUAAAGUUAGAACAAUACAGAGAAUAUUAGCAUGGCUCCUGCUCAAAGAUGACACGCAAAUUUGUGAAGCAUUUCAUAUUUUU
Sorex fumeus (smoky shrew) is the source of this 107-nucleotide small nuclear RNA. Lineage: Eukaryota; Metazoa; Chordata; Mammalia; Eulipotyphla; Soricidae. The record is from RefSeq and is a predicted model, not a curated record.